This 445-nucleotide ribosomal RNA is filed under the name uncultured bacterium. RNAcentral's name for it is "partial 16S ribosomal RNA". It matches the Rfam family "Bacterial small subunit ribosomal RNA", at positions 354 to 796 of the family's 1533-position model. The record is from RNAcentral.
GUGAGGAAUAUUGGUCAAUGGGCGGGAGCCUGAACCAGCCAAGUCGCGUGAAGGAAGAAGGAUCUAUGGUUCGUAAACUUCUUUUGCAGGGGAAUAAAGUGCAGGACGUGUCCUGUUUUGUAUGUACCCUGAGAAUAAGGAUCGGCUAACUCCGUGCCAGCAGCCGCGGUAAUACGGAGGAUCCGAGCGUUAUCCGGAUUUAUUGGGUUUAAAGGGUGCGUAGGUGGUUUGAUAAGUCAGCGGUGAAAGUUUGCAGCUUAACUGUAAAAAUGCCGUUGAAACUGUCGGACUUGAGUGUAAAUGAGGUAGGCGGAAUGCGUGGUGUAGCGGUGAAAUGCAUAGAUAUCACGCAGAACUCCGAUUGCGAAGGCAGCUUACUAAGCUACAACUGACACUGAAGCACGAAAGCGUGGGGAUCAAACAGGAUUAGAAACUCGGGUAGUCC